Pelobates cultripes (western spadefoot toad) is the source of this 390-nucleotide non-coding RNA. Lineage: Eukaryota; Metazoa; Chordata; Amphibia; Anura; Pelobatidae. The record is from the annotation of a GenBank genome assembly.
GGUGAACAUCCCACGCCGACCACAUGGCAAAUGUGUUUAACUCUCCUUAUUUCCCAUGACUGUCUCUGUGGCUGGCCCCACAUCCAUGGCAGAGAUACUUGAUCAUCUUAGCCAAGCCACUAUUUUCCCAUAGGAAAUUAUAGUGAGGUCAUUGCACAAAAUGCUGAACCAAACCAAUUAGUAUCUCCUCAUUGAAAUUCAUCACCACAGGGAACAUUCAGCACCUCCAGUGGCUGAGUGACUCACUAGAUCUGUUACUAGGAUGCAAUGUAAACAUUGUUCUCUAAAAAUGCAGUGUUUACAUUGAAAAAAACAAAACAAAAAUCUACAGGGACUGGUUCAGUGGCAAGACUAAAAUAGAGGGCACUGGUGCUAUACUUUUGGUCUCUC